CCUACGGGAGGCAGCAGUGGGGAAUAUUGCGCAAUGGACGAAAGUCUGACGCAGCGACGCCUCGUGAGGGACGAAGGUCUUCGGAUUGUAAACCUCUUUCAGCAGGGACGAAGCGAAAGUGACGGUACCUGCAGAAGAAGCACCGGCUAACUAUGUGCCAGCAGCCGCGGUAAUACAUAGGGUGCAAGCGUUGUCCGGAUUUAUUGGGCGUAAAGAGUUCGUAGGCGGUUUCUCGCGUCGGAUGUGAAAACUCAGGGCUCAACCCUGAGCCUGCAUUCGAUACGGGGAAACUUGAGGACGGCAGGGGAGACUGGAACUCCUGGUGUAGCGGUGGAAUGCGCAGAUAUCAGGAAGAACACCAAUGGCGAAGGCAGGUCUCUGGGCCGAUUCUGACGCUGAGGAACGAAAGCGUGGGGAGCAAACAGGAUUAGAUACCCUGGUAGUCCACGCCGUAAACGAUGGACGCUAGGUGUGGGGAACAUUCCACGUUCUCUGCGCCGCAGCUAACGCAUUAAGCGUCCCGCCUGGGGAGUACGACCGCAAGGUUAAAACUCAAAGGAAUUGACGG
Molecule: ribosomal RNA, 568 nt
Filed under: uncultured Actinomycetes bacterium
Lineage: Bacteria; Bacillati; Actinomycetota; Actinomycetes
Description: bacterial SSU rRNA
Rfam family: Bacterial small subunit ribosomal RNA
Source: RNAcentral